RNA transcript from Pan troglodytes (chimpanzee), 4299 nucleotides. It is a transcript of the gene named protein phosphatase 3 catalytic subunit gamma, with no coding region annotated. NCBI's taxonomy places the organism in Eukaryota, Metazoa, Chordata, Mammalia, Primates, Hominidae. The transcript is spliced from 14 exons. The record is from RefSeq and is a predicted model, not a curated record.
UAGGCUGGAAUGUAGUGGUGCUAUCUUGGCUCACUGCAGCCUCGACUUCCUGGGCUCAAGUGAUCCUCCCACCUCAGCCGCCCAAGUAGCUGGGACUCCAGGCAUGUGACACCACAUUCGGCUAAUUUUUGUUGUGUUUUUAGUAGAGAUGGGGUUUCACCAUGUUGCCCAGGCUGGACUCAAACUCCUGAGCUCAAGUAUUCUGCCUGGCUCAGCCUGCCAAAGUGCUAGGAUUACAGGCAUGAGCCACUGGGCCUGGCCUUAGACUCUACUUCUUGAUAGGAUAGGGUCAGGUCACUGCUAUGCUUUAAAUAUGAUCCCCAGAAAGCAUAUGUAGGCUGCCUGGGUGAUGGGUAUACUAGAAGCCCAAACUUUACCAUUAUGCAGUAUAUCCAUGUAAAAAAGGUACACAUAUACCCCUUGAAUCUGAAAUUUAAAAAUAAAAUAAGUAUGUAUUAGAAAAUUUAUCCCAAAUGCAGUAGUGUUGGGAGGUGGGGCCUAAUGAGAGGUGUUUAGGUCAUGAAGCCACCUCUAAUGAAUGCAUUAAUGUUGAUUAUAAAAGGCCUUAAGGCUGCAAGUUCUAUCUCUUGCUCUCUCUUAUCCCUCUUUGCCCUUCCACUAUGGGAUGAUGCAGCAAGAAGACCCAUGCCAGAUGCCUGGCCCCUCAAUCUUGAACUUCUUAGCCUCCAGAACUAUGAAUGAGUAAAUUUCUAUUCAUUAUAAAUUAUCCAGUCUAUAAUAUUUUGUCAUAGCAACACAAAACAGACCAAGACAGUGAGAUUACAGAAGAGUAUGUAGAGUGAGAAAUAUUAUUGUAGCCAUUUUUUUAAAAUUUUUGCUUUUUUAAAAAAAUUAUUCUUUAAGUUCUAGGGUACAUGUGCUCAACAUGCAGGUUUGCUACAUAGGUAUACAUGUGCCAUGUUGGUUUGCUGCACCCACCAACUCAUCAUUUACAUUAGGUAUUUCUCCUAAUGCUCUCCCUCCCCCAGCCCCCCAUCCUCCGACCAGCCGCAGUGUGUGAUGUUCCCCACCCUGUGUCCAUGUGAUCUCAUUGUUCAAUUCCCACCUAAGAGUGAGAACAUGUGGUGUUUGGUUUUCUGUCCUUGUGAUAGUUUGCUGAGAAUGAUGGUUUCCAGCUUCAUCCAUGUCCCUGCAAAGGACAUGAACUCAUCCUUUUUAUGGCUGCAUAGUAUUCCAUGGUGUAUAUGUGCCACGUUUUCUUUAUCCAGUCUAUCAUUGAUGGACAUUUGGGUUGGUUCCAAGUCUUUGCUAUUGUGAACAGUGCUGCAAUAAACAUACGUGCACAUGUGUCUUUAUAGUAGAAUGAUUUAUAAUCCUUUGAGUAUAUGCCUAGUAAUGGGAUUGCUGGGUCAAAUGGUAUUUCUAGUUCUAGAUCCUUGAGGAAUCACCACAGUGUCUUCCACAAUGGUUGAACUGAUUUACACACCCACCAACGGUGUAUUUCUCCACAUCCUCUCCAGCAUCUGUUGUUUCCUGACUUUUUAAUGAUCACCAUUCUAACUGGUGUGAGAUGGUAUCUUAUUGUGGUUUUGAUUUGCAUUUCUCUGAUGACCAGUGAUGAUGAGCAUUUUUGCAUAUGUCUGUUGGCUGCAUAAAUGUCUUCUUUUGAGAAGUGUCUGUUCAUAUCCUUUGCCCACUUUUUGAUGGGGUUGUUUUUUUCUUGUAAAUUUGUUUAAGUUCUUUGUAGAUUCUGGAUAUUAGCCCUUUGUCAGAUGGGUAGAUUGCAAAAAUUUUCUCUGUUUUUGCUUUUUGAGAUGGAGUUUCACUCUGUUGUCCAGGCUGACAACUGUAGCUGACUGCAGCCUCAACCUGUUGGGUUCCAGAGAUCCUUCUGUGUCAGCCUCCUGAGUAGCUGGGAGUACAGGCAGAUGCCACCACACCUGGCUAAUUAAAAAAAAAAAUUUGUAGAGAUGGGGGUCUCACCAUGCUGCCCAGGCUGGUUUCGAACUCUUGGCUUCAAGCAGUCUCCCCAACUUGGAUUCCCAAAGUGCUGGGAUUACAGGACUGUCCCCUUUCCUCCAACCCAACGGCUUACUUUCAAGGAAGUAUUUGAGAAUGGGAAACCUAAAGUUGAUGUUUUAAAAAACCAUUUGGUAAAGGAAGGACGACUGGAAGAGGAAGUAGCCUUAAAGAUAAUCAAUGAUGGGGCUGCCAUCCUGAGGCAAGAGAAGACUAUGAUAGAAGUAGAUGCUCCAAUCACAGUAUGUGGUGAUAUUCAUGGACAAUUCUUUGACCUAAUGAAGUUAUUUGAAGUUGGAGGAUCACCUAGUAACACACGCUACCUCUUUCUGGGUGACUAUGUGGACAGAGGCUAUUUCAGUAUAGAGUGUGUGCUGUAUUUAUGGAGUUUAAAGAUUAAUCAUCCCAAAACAUUGUUUCUGCUUCGGGGAAAUCAUGAAUGCAGGCAUCUUACAGACUAUUUCACCUUCAAACAGGAAUGUCGAAUCAAAUAUUCGGAACAGGUGUAUGAUGCCUGUAUGGAGACAUUUGACUGUCUUCCUCUUGCUGCCCUCUUAAACCAGCAGUUUCUCUGUGUACAUGGAGGAAUGUCACCUGAAAUUACUUCUUUAGAUGACAUUAGGAAAUUAGACAGGUUUACGGAACCUCCCGCCUUUGGACCUGUGUGUGACCUGCUUUGGUCUGAUCCCUCAGAGGAUUAUGGCAAUGAGAAGACCUUGGAGCACUAUACCCACAACACUGUCCGAGGGUGCUCUUAUUUCUACAGUUACCCUGCAGUUUGUGAAUUUUUGCAGAACAAUAAUUUACUAUCAAUUAUCAGAGCCCAUGAAGCCCAAGAUGCUGGGUAUCGAAUGUACAGGAAGAGCCAAGCAACAGGCUUUCCAUCACUUAUUACAAUUUUCUCUGCCCCCAAUUACCUAGAUGUCUAUAACAAUAAAGCUGCUGUGUUGAAAUAUGAAAACAAUGUCAUGAAUAUCAGGCAGUUUAACUGUUCUCCACACCCCUACUGGCUUCCAAACUUUAUGGAUGUUUUCACAUGGUCUUUGCCUUUUGUUGGGGAAAAAGUCACAGAGAUGCUGGUAAAUGUGCUCAACAUAUGCUCUGAUGACGAACUGAUUUCUGAUGAUGAAGCAGAAGGAAGCACUACAGUUCGUAAGGAGAUCAUCAGGAAUAAGAUCAGAGCCAUUGGGAAGAUGGCACGGGUCUUUUCAAUUCUUCGGCAAGAAAGUGAGAGUGUGCUGACUCUCAAGGGCCUGACUCCCACAGGCACACUCCCUCUGGGCGUCCUCUCAGGAGGCAAGCAGACUAUCGAGACAGCCACAGUAGAAGCGGUAGAGGCCCGGGAAGGUAUGGCCAUAUUACUCUGAUAGAUGUGAUCCAUGUGUCUGUGUACUGGUUUUUCGAAGCUUUAUCAACAUUUCAAAUAUUUUAUUAUUGCAUCACCAGAACUAUAACAGUGAGAAAAGGUAUAGUUGUUUCUAGGCAUGUUAACGAAGCAGGUGUUUCCUUUGUGUCCUAUCUUUGCAUUAAUUUUAAAUAACCUUCACCACAGCUACAGUUUUUUUUCUGGGCUCUAUCAGCUUUAAUGCAACGGCAGAAGCUUAAGCAACUGGUCAUGAGAGGUCAAGUGGUUUACUUCUGUAUCCCUUCCAUGUACAAGAGACAUCCAUUUGAUUCUAAAGAGAGCCAAAUAGGUCAGCCUCUUCAGCGAUUCUAAAAGAUUUCAAGAGCAGAGGCAGAAGUAGACUGGAAUUUAGUUCAAUUCAUUUCUGAGGUUGCCCUAAGUAAGCCAUCAGAGGGUUCUCGCUUCAGCACAAGAUCCGGAGUUUUGAAGAAGCACGAGGUCUGGACCGAAUUAAUGAGCGAAUGCCACCCCGAAAGGAUAGCAUACACGCUGAUGGGCCAAUGAAAUCUGUAACCUCAGCACACUCACAUGCCGCGCACAGGAGCGACCAAGGGAAGAAAGCCCAGUCAUGACUUAAGAGUCCUGCCGUGGCUCAGGUGGAUCUAAAACUCAAGAACAAAUUUUAUUUAUUUAUUAUUGGAAAAUGAAAAGCAACUCAAACAACUUCAACCUGGAGGUGCAUUUAUAAUUCAGUCUGCAUUUAUUCUGUAAAAAGGUGACUGUUUUAUAAAUUCUUUUAAUUUAUGUUCAAUAUAUAUAAAAAGUGCAUCUGUUUUAUUUUUCCCUUUUUUCUCCAUAAUUUUAAGAAAUGAAUCUGAUUGUUGUCAACACAUUUGUGAAGUCUUGUGCUAUAAAGGGGAACUUCCCCUAAUAAAAGGGCCUUGGAAACCUCAAACCUGGGUUUCUGACUUGAA